RNAcentral lists this ribosomal RNA (1432 nucleotides) under uncultured organism. RNAcentral describes it as "16S ribosomal RNA". It matches the Rfam family "Bacterial small subunit ribosomal RNA". The record is from RNAcentral.
CAGGCUUAACACAUGCAAGUCGAGGGGCAGCAUGGUCUUAGCUUGCUAAGGCCGAUGGCGACCGGCGCACGGGUGAGUAACACGUAUCCAACCUGCCGUCUACUCUUGGACAGCCUUCUGAAAGGAAGAUUAAUACAAGAUGGCAUCAUGAGUCCGCAUGUUCACAUGAUUAAAGGUAUUCCGGUAGACGAUGGGGAUGCGUUCCAUUAGAUAGUAGGCGGGGUAACGGCCCACCUAGUCUUCGAUGGAUAGGGGUUCUGAGAGGAAGGUCCCCCACAUUGGAACUGAGACACGGUCCAAACUCCUACGGGAGGCAGCAGUGAGGAAUAUUGGUCAAUGGGCGAGAGCCUGAACCAGCCAAGUAGCGUGAAGGAUGACUGCCCUAUGGGUUGUAAACUUCUUUUAUAAAGGAAUAAAGUCGGGUAUGGAUACCCGUUUGCAUGUACUUUAUGAAUAAGGAUCGGCUAACUCCGUGCCAGCAGCCGCGGUAAUACGGAGGAUCCGAGCGUUAUCCGGAUUUAUUGGGUUUAAAGGGAGCGUAGAUGGAUGUUUAAGUCAGUUGUGAAAGUUUGCGGCUCAACCGUAAAAUUGCAGUUGAUACUGGAUAUCUUGAGUGCAGUUGAGGCAGGCGGAAUUCGUGGUGUAGCGGUGAAAUGCUUAGAUAUCACGAGGAACUCCGAUUGCGAAGGCAGCCUGCUAAGCUGCAACUGACAUUGAGGCUCGAAAGUGUGGGUAUCAAACAGGAUUAGAUACCCUGGUAGUCCACACGGUAAACGAUGAAUACUCGCUGUUUGCGAUAUACAGCAAGCGGCCAAGCGAAAGCGUUAAGUAUUCCACCUGGGGAGUACGCCGGCAACGGUGAAACUCAAAGGAAUUGACGGGGGCCCGCACAAGCGGAGGAACAUGUGGUUUAAUUCGAUGAUACGCGAGGAACCUUACCCGGGCUUAAAUUGCAGAUGAAUUACGGUGAAAGCCGUAAGCCGCAAGGCAUCUGUGAAGGUGCUGCAUGGUUGUCGUCAGCUCGUGCCGUGAGGUGUCGGCUUAAGUGCCAUAACGAGCGCGACCCUUGUUGUCAGUUACUAACAGGUUCCGCUGAGGACUCUGACAAGACUGCCAUCGUAAGAUGUGAGGAAGGUGGGGAUGACGUCAAAUCAGCACGGCCCUUACGUCCGGGGCUACACACGUGUUACAAUGGGGGGUACAGAGGGCCGCUACCACGCGAGUGGAUGCCAAUCCCAAAAACCUCUCUCAGUUCGGACUGGAGUCUGCAACCCGACUCCACGAAGCUGGAUUCGCUAGUAAUCGCGCAUCAGCCACGGCGCGGUGAAUACGUUCCCGGGCCUUGUACACACCGCCCGUCAAGCCAUGGGAGCCGGGGGUACCUGAAGUGCGUAACCGCGAGGAGCGCCCUAGGGUAAAACUGGUGACUGGG